RNAcentral lists this ribosomal RNA (429 nucleotides) under Gemmatimonadota bacterium. RNAcentral's name for it is "Gemmatimonadetes bacterium partial 16S ribosomal RNA". It matches the Rfam family "Bacterial small subunit ribosomal RNA", at positions 355 to 776 of the family's 1533-position model. The record is from RNAcentral. Lineage: Bacteria; Pseudomonadati; Gemmatimonadota.
UAGGGAAUCUUCGGCAAUGGACGAAAGUCUGACCGAGCAACGCCGCGUGAGUGAAGAAGGUUUUCGGAUCGUAAAACUCUGUUGUUAGAGAAGAACAAGGACGUUAGUAACUGAACGUCCCCUGACGGUAUCUAACCAGAAAGCCACGGCUAACUACGUGCCAGCAGCCGCGGUAAUACGUAGGUGGCAAGCGUUGUCCGGAUUUAUUGGGCGUAAAGCGAGCGCAGGCGGUUUCUUAAGUCUGAUGUGAAAGCCCCCGGCUCAACCGGGGAGGGUCAUUGGAAACAGGAAGACUGGGGUGCAGAAGAGGAGAGUGGAAUUCCAUGUGUAGCGGUGAAAUGCGUAGAUAUAUGGAGGAACACCAGUGGCGAAGGGGGCUCUCUGGUCUGUAACUGACGCUGAGGAUCGAAAGCGUGGGGAGCAAACAGG